Molecule: transfer RNA, 72 nt
Filed under: Daphnia magna
Lineage: Eukaryota; Metazoa; Arthropoda; Branchiopoda; Diplostraca; Daphniidae
Description: tRNA-Leu
Rfam family: tRNA
About the family: Transfer RNA (tRNA) molecules are approximately 80 nucleotides in length. Their secondary structure includes four short double-helical elements and three loops (D, anti-codon, and T loops). Further hydrogen bonds mediate the characteristic L-shaped molecular structure. tRNAs have two regions of fundamental functional importance: the anti-codon, which is responsible for specific mRNA codon recognition, and the 3' end, to which the tRNAs corresponding amino acid is attached (by aminoacyl-tRNA synthetases). tRNAs cope with the degeneracy of the genetic code in two manners: having more than one tRNA (with a specific anti-codon) for a particular amino acid; and 'wobble' base-pairing, i.e. permitting non-standard base-pairing at the 3rd anti-codon position.
Source: RNAcentral
GGCUCAUUGGUCUAGUGGUAUGAUUCCUGCUUUAGGUGUAGGAGUCCCCGGGUUCAAAUCCCGGAUGAGCCC